GCCCGCUUGGCGGAACCGGUAGACGCAAGGGACUUAAAAUCCCUUAUCCUCACGGGUGUGUGGGUUCGAGUCCCACAGCGGGCACCA
This 87-nucleotide transfer RNA is filed under the name Alphaproteobacteria bacterium. RNAcentral describes it as "tRNA-Leu". It matches the Rfam family "tRNA". Rfam says of the family: Transfer RNA (tRNA) molecules are approximately 80 nucleotides in length. Their secondary structure includes four short double-helical elements and three loops (D, anti-codon, and T loops). The record is from RNAcentral. RNAcentral also lists the same sequence under 1 other name. Lineage: Bacteria; Pseudomonadati; Pseudomonadota; Alphaproteobacteria.